CGCACGGGUGCGUAACGCGUGGGAAUCUGCCCUUGGGUACGGAAUAACUCAGAGAAAUUUGUGCUAAUACCGUAUAAUGUCUUCGGACCAAAGAUUUAUCGCCCAAGGAUGAGCCCGCGUAGGAUUAGCUAGUUGGUGAGGUAAAAGCUCACCAAGGCGACGAUCCUUAGCUGGUCUGAGAGGAUGAUCAGCCACACUGGGACUGAGACACGGCCCAGACUCCUACGGGAGGCAGCAGUGGGGAAUAUUGGACAAUGGGCGAAAGCCUGAUCCAGCAAUGCCGCGUGAGUGAUGAAGGCCCUAGGGUUGUAAAGCUCUUUUACCCGGGAUGAUAAUGACAGUACCGGGAGAAUAAGCUCCGGCUAACUUCGUGCCAGCAGCCGCGGUAAUACGAGGGGAGCUAGCGUUGUUCGGAAUUACUGGGCGUAAAGCGCGCGUAGGCGGUUUUUUAAGUCAGAGGUGAAAGCCCGGGGCUCAACCCCGGAAUAGCCUUUGAAACUGGAAAACUAGAAUCUUGGAGAGGUCAGUGGAAUUCCGAGUGUAGAGGUGAAAUUCGUAGAUAUUCGGAGGAACACCAGUGGCGAAGGCGACUGACUGGACAAGUAUGACGCUGAGGUG
This 618-nucleotide ribosomal RNA is filed under the name uncultured bacterium. RNAcentral's name for it is "bacterial SSU rRNA". It matches the Rfam family "Bacterial small subunit ribosomal RNA", at positions 99 to 753 of the family's 1533-position model. The record is from RNAcentral.